GUUAAGCGACUAAGCGUACACGGUGGAUGCCCUGGCAGUCAGAGGCGAUGAAGGACGUGCUAAUCUGCGAUAAGCGUCGGUGAGGUGAUAUGAACCGUUAUAACCGGCGAUUUCCGAAUGGGGAAACCCAGUGUGUUUCGACACACUAUCAUUAACUGAAUCCAUAGGUUAAUGAGGCGAACCGGGGGAACUGAAACAUCUAAGUACCCCGAGGAAAAGAAAUCAACCGAGAUUCCCCCAGUAGCGGCGAGCGAACGGGGAGGAGCCCAGAGCCUGAAUCAGUGUGUGUGUUAGUGGAAGCGUCUGGAAAGGCGCGCGAUACAGGGUGACAGCCCCGUACACAAAAAUGCACAUAUUGUGAGCUCGAUGAGUAGGGCGGGACACGUGGUAUCCUGUCUGAAUAUGGGGGGACCAUCCUCCAAGGCUAAAUACUCCUGACUGACCGAUAGUGAACCAGUACCGUGAGGGAAAGGCGAAAAGAACCCCGGCGAGGGGAGUGAAAAAGAACCUGAAACCGUGUACGUACAAGCAGUGGGAGCCUCUUUAUGGGGUGACUGCGUACCUUUUGUAUAAUGGGUCAGCGACUUAUAUUCUGUAGCAAGGUUAACCGAAUAGGGGAGCCGAAGGGAAACCGAGUCUUAACUGGGCGUUAAGUUGCAGGGUAUAGACCCGAAACCCGGUGAUCUAGCCAUGGGCAGGUUGAAGGUUGGGUAACACUAACUGGAGGACCGAACCGACUAAUGUUGAAAAAUUAGCGGAUGACUUGUGGCUGGGGGUGAAAGGCCAAUCAAACCGGGAGAUAGCUGGUUCUCCCCGAAAGCUAUUUAGGUAGCGCCUCGUGAAUUCAUCUCCGGGGGUAGAGCACUGUUUCGGCAAGGGGGUCAUCCCGACUUACCAACCCGAUGCAAACUGCGAAUACCGGAGAAUGUUAUCACGGGAGACACACGGCGGGUGCUAACGUCCGUCGUGAAGAGGGAAACAACCCAGACCGCCAGCUAAGGUCCCAAAGUCAUGGUUAAGUGGGAAACGAUGUGGGAAGGCCCAGACAGCCAGGAUGUUGGCUUAGAAGCAGCCAUCAUUUAAAGAAAGCGUAAUAGCUCACUGGUCGAGUCGGCCUGCGCGGAAGAUGUAACGGGGCUAAACCAUG
RNAcentral lists this ribosomal RNA (1147 nucleotides) under Escherichia coli. RNAcentral's name for it is "partial 23S ribosomal RNA". It matches the Rfam family "Bacterial large subunit ribosomal RNA", at positions 1 to 1191 of the family's 2925-position model. The record is from RNAcentral. Lineage: Bacteria; Pseudomonadati; Pseudomonadota; Gammaproteobacteria; Enterobacterales; Enterobacteriaceae.